RNAcentral lists this ribosomal RNA (509 nucleotides) under uncultured bacterium. RNAcentral's name for it is "partial 16S ribosomal RNA". The stretch from base 20 to 332 matches the Rfam family "Bacterial small subunit ribosomal RNA", at positions 47 to 358 of the family's 1533-position model. The record is from RNAcentral.
GACGAACGCUGGCGGCGUGCUUAACACAUGCAAGUCGAACGGAAAGGCCCUGCUUUUGUGGGGUGCUCGAGUGGCGAACGGGUGAGUAACACGUGAGUAACCUGCCCUUGACUUUGGGAUAACUUCAGGAAACUGGGGCUAAUACCGGAUAGGAGCUCCUGCUGCAUGGUGGGGGUUGGAAAGUUUCGGCGGUUGGGGAUGGACUCGCGGCUUAUCAGCUUGUUGGUGGGGUAGUGGCUUACCAAGGCUUUGACGGGUAGCCGGCCUGAGAGGGUGACCGGCAGAGGGGGGCGAGGGAUGCGGCCCUAAGUGUGGCGGGGGGAGGCGGGGGGGAAGAUCGACGGGUGUGGGGAAGCGGGACGCAGCACGGGGGCGGGCGGGCGGCCGGCCUGCGGCUGGUAACCCGGUGUCGGCUGUGAAGAGGCGGGCGUGAGGGUAAUGGAUAACGACGCACCGGCUAACACCGUGACAGCCGCUUGGGUAAUCAUCGGACGGGAACACGGCUGAAC